Molecule: long non-coding RNA, 297 nt
Filed under: Mytilus galloprovincialis (Mediterranean mussel)
Lineage: Eukaryota; Metazoa; Mollusca; Bivalvia; Mytilida; Mytilidae
Source: RNAcentral
UAUGUUUUCUGGUCUGUGCGUCCGUUCGUCCGUCUGUCUGUCUGUCUGUCCGUUCGUUCGUCCGUCCGUUCGUUCGUCCGUCUGUCCCGCUUCAGGUUAAAGUUUUUGGUCAAGGUACUUUUUGAUGAAGUUAAAGUCCAAUCAACUUGAAACUUAGUAUACAUGUGCCCUAUGAUAUGAUCUUUCUAAUUUUAAUGCCAAAUUAGAGAAUUUAUUCCAAUUUCACGGUCCACUAAACAUAGAAAAUGAUAGUGCGAGUGGGGCAUCCGUGUACUGUGGACACAUUCUUGUUUUUAC